CUGAAAGGAAGAUUAAUCCAGGAUGGGAUCAUGAGUUCACAUGUCCGCAUGAUUAAAGGUAUUUUCCGGUAGACGAUGGGGAUGCGUUCCAUUAGAUAGUAGGCGGGGUAACGGCCCACCUAGUCAACGAUGGAUAGGGGUUCUGAGAGGAAGGUCCCCCACAUUGGAACUGAGACACGGUCCAAACUCCUACGGGAGGCAGCAGUGAGGAAUAUUGGUCAAUGGGCGAUGGCCUGAACCAGCCAAGUAGCGUGAAGGAUGACUGCCCUAUGGGUUGUAAACUUCUUUUAUAAAGGAAUAAAGUCGGGUAUGCAUACCCGUUUGCAUGUACUUUAUGAAUAAGGAUCGGCUAACUCCGUGCCAGCAGCCGCGGUAAUACGGAGGAUCCGAGCGUUAUCCGGAUUUAUUGGGUUUAAAGGGAGCGUAGAUGGAUGUUUAAGUCAGUUGUGAAAGUUUGCGGCUCAACCGUAAAAUUGCAGUUGAUACUGGAUGUCUUGAGUGCAGUUGAGGCAGGCGGAAUUCGUGGUGUAGCGGUGAAAUGCUUAGAUAUCACGAAGAACUCCGAUUGCGAAGGCAGCCUGCUAAGCUGCAACUGACA
Molecule: ribosomal RNA, 598 nt
Filed under: uncultured Bacteroidales bacterium
Lineage: Bacteria; Pseudomonadati; Bacteroidota; Bacteroidia; Bacteroidales
Description: bacterial SSU rRNA
Rfam family: Bacterial small subunit ribosomal RNA
Source: RNAcentral